GCGCGCUUAACACAUGCAAGUCGAGCCGAUAACCAUGGCUUCGGCCAUGGGGAGAGCGGCGAACGGGUGAGUAACACGUGAGCGAUCUGCCCUCGACACUGGGAUAGCCCGGGGAAACCCGGAUUAAUACCGGAUAGCCUCUCGGGCCCACGGGCUCGUGAGAAAAGAUGGCUUCGGCUUUCGGUUGAGGAGGAGCUUGCGGCGGAUUAGCUUGUUGGUGAGGUAACGGCUCACCAAGGCGACGAUCCGUAGCUGGUCUGAGAGGACGAUCAGCCACACUGGGACUGAGACACGGCCCAGACUCCUACGGGAGGCAGCAGUGGGGAAUCUUGCGCAAUGGGCGAAAGCCUGACGCAGCGACGCCGCGUGAGGGAAGAAGGCCUUCGGGUUGUAAACCUCUUUCAGGAGGGACGAAGCUACUCGGGUUAAUAGCCCAGAGGGUGACGGUACCUCCAGAAGAAGCCCCGGCUAACUACGUGCCAGCAGCCGCGGUAAUACGUAGGGGGCAAGCGUUGUCCGGAAUUAUUGGGCGUAAAGCGCGUGUAGGCGGCCAGAUAAGU
This 560-nucleotide ribosomal RNA is filed under the name uncultured earthworm cast bacterium. RNAcentral describes it as "bacterial SSU rRNA". It matches the Rfam family "Bacterial small subunit ribosomal RNA", at positions 42 to 588 of the family's 1533-position model. The record is from RNAcentral.